RNAcentral lists this ribosomal RNA (813 nucleotides) under Streptomyces sp. RNAcentral describes it as "bacterial SSU rRNA". It matches the Rfam family "Bacterial small subunit ribosomal RNA", at positions 90 to 917 of the family's 1533-position model. Lineage: Bacteria; Bacillati; Actinomycetota; Actinomycetes; Kitasatosporales; Streptomycetaceae. The record is from RNAcentral.
GAUUAGUGGCGACGGGUGAGUAACACGUGGGCAAUCUGCCCUGCACUCUGGGACAAGCCCUGGAAACGGGGUCUAAUACCGGAUGACAUCCCCUCUCGCAUGGGAGGGGGUUGAAAGCUCCGGCGGUGCAGGAUGAGCCCGCGGCCUAUCAGCUAGUUGGUGAGGUAGAAGCUCACCAAGGCGACGACGGGUAGCCGGCCUGAGAGGGCGACCGGCCACACUGGGACUGAGACACGGCCCAGACUCCUACGGGAGGCAGCAGUGGGGAAUAUUGCACAAUGGGCGAAAGCCUGAUGCAGCGACGCCGCGUGAGGGAUGACGGCCUUCGGGUUGUAAACCUCUUUCAGCAGGGAAGAAGCGCAAGUGACGGUACCUGCAGAAGAAGCGCCGGCUAACUACGUGCCAGCAGCCGCGGUAAUACGUAGGGCGCAAGCGUUGUCCGGAAUUAUUGGGCGUAAAGAGCUCGUAGGCGGCUUGUCACGUCGGUUGUGAAAGCCCGGGGCUUAACCCCGGGUCUGCAGUCGAUACGGGCAGGCUAGAGUGUGGUAGGGGAGAUCGGAAUUCCUGGUGUAGCGGUGAAAUGCGCAGAUAUCAGGAGGAACACCGGUGGCGAAGGCGGAUCUCUGGGCCAUUACUGACGCUGAGGAGCGAAAGCGUGGGGAGCGAACAGGAUUAGAUACCCUGGUAGUCCACGCCGUAAACGGUGGGAACUAGGUGUUGGCGACAUUCCACGUCGUCGGUGCCGCAGCUAACGCAUUAAGUUCCCCGCCUGGGGAGUACGGCCGCAAGCUAAAACUCAAAGGAAUUGACGGG